Salmo salar (Atlantic salmon) is the source of this 60-nucleotide non-coding RNA. The record is from Rfam. Lineage: Eukaryota; Metazoa; Chordata; Actinopteri; Salmoniformes; Salmonidae.
UGGCUCAGUUGGUAGAGCAUGGUGUUUGCAACACCAGGGUUGUGGGUAUUUGAUUCCCAU